This 1082-nucleotide long non-coding RNA is filed under the name Mus spretus (western wild mouse). RNAcentral describes it as "lncRNA (ENSMSPG00010039205.1)". The record is from RNAcentral. Lineage: Eukaryota; Metazoa; Chordata; Mammalia; Rodentia; Muridae.
AGGGUAACUCGAUGGAGUACCCCUAGUGAUGGAGGAUAGAGAGCCUGAACCAGGCAUUUUCUGUAACCAGGCAACUUCUAGUGGUAAGACUGGGACACCAACUCAGCCAUAAAACCUUCAGUUUACAAGCUAUUCUGUCUGGAAAGUAUCUGGGUGUGAUGUAGGCACAGAACAUGUGGAAGUGGCCUACCAAUAACUGGUCCAAUUUGAAAUGUAUGUCAUGAAAGGAAACCCAGGUCUGACACUGCCUGGAUGACCAGGGAUGGAAGCUGCAUAGCCCAGAGACUUAGGAUAGGAAAUAGCAUCUUCUAGAAUAUGAUGGGAGCAGAUGCAGAGGCCCAAAGACAAACAUUAGGUGGAGAGAGAGCCCAAACUGAAGAUUUUCAUUUAGUCCCUCCCUUCGGAGCUCAGGAAGCUUUGGUGGAGGAAGAGGGGUGGAAAACAGCAGGAGAACCUCACAUAAGAAGGGCUCAGAGGGGCUUCCAGAGACUGAAGUAACCACCAUGAAGCCUGCAAGGGUCUGUGGAGACAGAGGCAGAUGAAUCUCCAUGAGUUCCAGGCCAGUCUGGUCUGCACAGUGAAUUCCAAGAUAUCCAGAACUAAAUGCUCUCUUCAUAUAUAAACAUUGUGUAAACUAAAAGAGACUGUCACAAAUGGUCCAGUUGUGCCCAAACUCCAGAUCUAAGACCAAGCACCUCCUUUCCCUCACCUCUCACGGAACUACAGUGAAAGGAAGACAUGCUGUGUGUAAUGUACCUGCUACUUCCACACCUUCUCUGCUCCAAGGACUUGACCACUGAAUAAUGAUAGUAGUUAUUUCCCCAGUUCUAUUCCUCCUCUCAGCCCAUAUGCUAGGGAUACACUCCUAAACUCAGAUCGACUUACAUCACAUUACCACUUGUCCUUUUUAGUAAAAACAGAUUCCAGUGGAUAUCCAAGACCCUAGAGAGUAAAAAAUUCAACCUACCUUCCCAGAAUUACCCUCUCCAUCCAUUCCCUGUACCACUAUAACAUCAAAUACUUCUUGACUGUCCUUGGAGAAAACUCUUUCAGCUAUCAAUACAUACAUUAUUUCUUCUACC